Long non-coding RNA from Cervus elaphus (red deer), 4261 nucleotides. RefSeq lists it as uncharacterized. The transcript is spliced from 4 exons. The record is from RefSeq and is a predicted model, not a curated record. NCBI's taxonomy places the organism in Eukaryota, Metazoa, Chordata, Mammalia, Artiodactyla, Cervidae.
CUGCCUGCUUUGCCUUUCACUGGUUACUGCACCCCCAGCCAGGUCCCAGGCCCCGGAGCUUCUAUCCAGCCAGCCAGAGGUGAAAACCGGGCCAGGACGGUGACACAGCGGGUUGAUAAUGAACCUAUCACACCUGUGUGAUGUCAGGUUAACACCAAAAUCAGCAUCCACCCUACGACCGCGGCUGUACAGGGGAGCCACAGGGCCCUGCAGGAGGCCUCGGACUCCUCCAGACCUCAAUUUCCCCUCUCAGCAAGUGGGGGCCAAGCAGCUGGUCCUGAGGUCUCGCACUCCUCCCAGGAAGAAAGCCACAUCACAUCCGCUGCCCUUUCUGUCUCGGGGCCCAGUGGCAGGCCUACCCUGGGAGCCACACCGGCAGGAGGAGGGAGGAGCCAGGAAAUCCGGGCGGGGUGGCGCCCACCCCCAGCCCCGGGCCAGGCGCCGGAGGGGGCGCCGGCUGCCCCAGAAACACGCUCCAGAUGCGAGAGGCGCUGCCAGCAUUCCUGGAAGGAGGUGGUCUCAUGAAGAAGUUAAAAGCAUGGCUUCUGGAGUCAGCUCUAUCUACUACUUGCUGGCUGUGUGACCUUUGACACGAUGGAGCUGCCCUCCUGCCGGUCUGCAUCCAUCCAUGACACACGUGGUUCUCGCCGGCCUGGGAAGCUGCCAGAAUCAAUGUGAGCAAGGUUCCUACUCAGGUGACUUAGUGCUGAAGAAUCCACCUGCAAUGCAGGAGAUGUAGGUUCGAUCCCUGGGUCAAGAAGAUCCCCUGGAGGAAGAAAUGGCAACCCGCCCCAGUAUUCUUGCCCAGAGAAUCCCAAGGACAGAGGAGCCUAGUGGGUUACAGUCCACCGGGUUGCAGAGCUGGACGCGACUGAGUGACUGAGCAGGCACAAGGUUCCUACGCAGUCAGGGGAGGGGCUGCUCACACCGGACAUCUGGCAUCUCCAUGACAACCCCAGACACAGGCGCCGUGGUUAGGCCUGUUCUGUAAGUGAGGACACGGAGGCUCAGAGGCAGGACUACCUCGCCUGGGUCACAGUGCUGGUUUGCGGCAGGGGAGGACUCGGUCCCAGGCUUGGGUGACCUUAAAGCCUGGGCAUUAACUGCACUGACUCAGCACUCCCAGAAGCUUCUGGCCCGAGAGCUUCGCCCUCUCCAUCCCGGCCAUCCUGCAUGUUGCUGCCCAAGAACGAUGCUCACGAGCCUCCCCUGCUCAGCCACCUUCAGAGGCUCCCCAGCACCCACAGAAAAAAACCACAAACCCCCUGUACAGGCCUCUCCAUCUCUGACUUCCAACAUCACACCUGCAGUCCACUCACUCGUCACAAGCUGAGUGCCGGGGUCCGUAGAGCCUGGAUUACACACCCGCCCCAGCAGGCCAGCUGUCCCCGCCACAGGGCCUCUGUGAGCUGCCCCUCUGUCUGGAAGCUGUUCUCCCCCCACGCCCCGUGGCAUGCGUGACCCCCCUCCUGGGAGAGGCCAGCCUGUUCGCUCCAGGCAGCGCUCCUCACCCCCACCGCACCCCAGUGUCUUCUCUACCACACACUUCUCACUACUGGCAGGGCAUUCCUGUGGCAUCGAUUUAUGUUUAAUGUUUUGAGGCCUCCGAUCGGAUGGUGAGGGCAGGGCCUUGCCUGUCUUGCUUCCUGCUGCACCCCUGUGCCAGCACAUGGCCAGCAGGCAGGACAUGCUGAGUGAGUUAGUGAACGAGUUCCCUUCUCCCAGGGCUCCUCACAGAGCCAGCAUGUAUCCGGAGUCUUGACUGGCCUGAAAUAACCCCCCUGCUAUGUUCUCUGCCUACGCUUAUCCUCCGCGACUCUGAGUUUCCUUCAAGUUGGCCCAGCAACCCCUGACUCUGGCCCCAACCUGCAAGUUCUCCUCCAGGACAGGAUGCUGUCCGGAGGCUCCUCAGUCGUGCAGACAUCCCCAAACUUGCCUGUGUGGUUCCUGCCACCUCAAUCACCCUUUCCAGCCACCUGCACAUCCCGCAAGAGCCCUUCAAGUAUUCCCUCCCUUGCAAGGUAGAGCUGAUCACAUCCCCUUUGACACUUCUGUCCUGUGGACACACACCCACCAUGAGGGCCUUAUGCAUUUGCCUUCACUGAUCAUGAUGAGGCUGCAUGUAUACAGCAGGUGCUCACGACACCAUUAGAGCAUAACCCACCAUCUCCUCAUCCUUCACAACAUAUAGGCCUCCCUGACUGGACAGGAAUGCCCUGAUGGCAGGGGCUCUUCUGUUCAUUGCUACAUCCUCAGUACAAAAUCCGAUGCCUGUCAAAUGGAUGGAUGGACCAAGGCACAGAUGGAUGAUCAGGUGGAUGCAUGGAUGGAUGAAAGGAAGGAAAAAAUGGAUGGAUGGACUGGCGGAGGGAUGCCCAGAAGGAAAACAAGAUAAAUGGAUGGAUGAAUGCCACGAGGAACCAGAACCAACCACAGAAAAUCUCUGUGAGGAUGACCGGAGACUGCGUUCCCACACGACUGAUGCAGCGCAGCUGCCAACAGCCUGCUGACCUCCGCCCUGGGAGCCUGUGAGCCUGAGCUGCCUGUGGACGCCGGUCUUCCCACUCCCAGCCAAAGGGCUCCUCCGACACCCCCCCCGCUCCUGUGAGAACCCCAGCUCAGAGUCAGAGCCCAGAAGAUGACCUUCAAGGUCGUGUGGCCCCCUGGAGGGCGCUCUGUGUGGCUGAGGGCCCAGGCCCUGGGCUCCCCAGGCCUGAGGGGUGUCUUCCUCACACGGCAGGACCUGCUGCGCUGACCAAUGCAUUCGGGGUGGGUGGAGAACCAUGCGCAGCAGCCGCGGCCCCAGGACCCUUCUGGAAACGCACUCUACGGGCGUUAAGAGCAGUGAACACGCAGGAAGACAUUAUUUACAACAGUGGGGGAAACAGUGUCAAUGUCCGACAACAAGGGGUAAUCACUGAUGCCCAGACGCACCCUCCACACACUGCUGAGCACCCUCCGCCACCACCUGUGGGUGCCGGCACCUCUCACGGGCAUCUGUGGGGCAGUGUGCCACCGAGUACCAGGCACGGACCCAAGCAGCAGACGUGCUCUUCUCACGGUUCUGGAGGCUGGCAGUGGAGACCACGGUGGUCAGCAGGCUCGGCUCCUUCUAAGCCUCGCUCCUCGGCGUGCAGACAGCGUUCUCUCCCUGCGUCUUCACGUGCUCUUCCUCUGUGCAUGUCUGUGUCCUGAUUUCCUCUUCAUACAAGGACACCAGACCUGUUGGAUCAGGCCCCACCCUAAUGACCUCAUUUCACCUUAAUCGCCUCUGUGAAGACCCUGUCUGCAAGUACGGCCCCAGUCUAAGGUGCUAGGGUUAGCACGUCAAUAUAGGACCUGGAGGUGUGUGUGCGCGCGCGUGUGUGUACACAAUUCAGCCCAUGACAGGCACCCUCACCAAAUGAAAGCCGUUAGAGAGGCCGUGUUUCAAGUGACGCCAGCACCACAGUGACACAGAAGUUUUCAGCCCCCUGUUGCAUGAGACUCAAGAGUUCAAAGAUCUCACUGGCUCCCAGGACAGAAGUCCUGACUGAAACAUACCACACUUGACGGCAUGAAAGCGAAGGAAAGGGCCUGGGGCAGCGCCCGGCUCCAAGUCUCCGGAGCUGAGUGCCCUGGACAGGCCGCCCACACCCAUCUCGCAGGCGGCUCAGUGUCAGAGGCCGAGCUCCUCGGGGCAGCCGGCAGGGGUGCCUGGUCUAUGCCCCUCCACCCUCACGACCAUCCUCAGGCUAGAUGGUGACGACCAGCUCCACACUGGAUAACGAGUUAUCACCCGUAAAGGCCUUGUAAGGCAGACCCCUCCAGGUCUCACAGCCCCAGGGAUCUGUGGAGGUUUCACAGAUGGUGGAAAUGAGGCUCAGAUACAGCCAGUGGCCUGUCCUAGGUCACACAACACGGAAGUGGCAAAAUCGUCUGCCUGACAUUCAGCACUAAGACAAACGGAGACAGCAUUAAAGUGUGCUUCCAUUGGAAGGGGUCCUAUCACGCUGUGAACAGUCGCACCAGCGAUCCAAGGCCUCUUCCAGUCUGGACUUACAUGGACAUAUUUGUUUAAGUCUGUAAUCAAGACACGUUUACAAUUCUGUGUUCUGUUUAUUUUGACUCAGCGUUAGAUCAUCAGCUUCUCUGUGCUCAAAUGGGCUCUGUGUACCCCAUUUUAAAGCCACAGAAUAUUCCACCCGCAGGGAUACGUAACAGUGUACCUAACUGUAUCUUGCUGUUGGAUGUUCAUAAUUCCCCCAUUAUAAAUAACAGU